GAAAUGCGAUAAGUAAUGUGAAUUGCAGAAUUCAGUGAAUCAUCGAAUCUUUGAACGCACAUUGCGCCCGCCAGUAUUCUGGCGGGCAUGCCUGUUCGAGCGUCAUUUCAACCCUCAAGCCCCCGCGGUUUGGUGUUGGGGGCCGGCGAUUGUCAGCUGGGCCGCUCAGGCGGUUCCCUGCGGCGCCGCCCCCGAAAUGAAUUGGCGGCCCCGUCGCGGCCUCCUCUGCGUAGUAGCACAACCUCGCAACAGGAGCGCGGCGCGGCCACUGCCGUAAAACGCACAAACUUCUCCAAGAGUUGACCUCGAAUCAGGUAGGAAAUACCCGCUGAACUUAA
This 338-nucleotide unclassified non-coding RNA is filed under the name uncultured Metarhizium. RNAcentral describes it as "sequence contains ITS1". The stretch from base 1 to 105 matches the Rfam family "5.8S ribosomal RNA", at positions 50 to 154 of the family's 154-position model. The record is from RNAcentral. Lineage: Eukaryota; Fungi; Ascomycota; Sordariomycetes; Hypocreales; Clavicipitaceae.